GAUCCUGGCUCAGAACGAACGCUGGCGGCAUGGAUUAGGCAUGCAAGUCGAACGAAGCAGCAAUGCUUAGUGGCGCAAGGGUGAGGAACACGUGAGUGACCUACCCGCAAGUUUGGAACAGCUCCUGGAAACGGGAAUUAAUACCGGAUGUGAUCAUGAAGCUGCAUGGUUUCAUGAUUAAAGCAGUAAUGCGCUUGCGGAUGGGCUCGCGUCCCAUUAGCUAGUUGGUGAGGUAACGGCCCACCAAGGCCAUGAUGGGUAGCUGGUCUGAGAGGACGACCAGCCACACUGGGACUGAGAACUGCCCAGACUCCUACGGGAGGCUGCAGUCGAGAAUUUUGGGCAAUGGACGAAAGUCUGACCCAGCAAUGCCGCGUGCGGGAUGAAGGUCUUCGGAUUGUAAACCGCUGUUUGGAGGGACGAAAAUUGACGGUACUUCCAGAGGAAGCCACGGCUAACUACGUGCCAGCAGCGGC
Molecule: ribosomal RNA, 476 nt
Filed under: uncultured bacterium
Lineage: Bacteria
Description: bacterial SSU rRNA
Rfam family: Bacterial small subunit ribosomal RNA
Source: RNAcentral